This 72-nucleotide transfer RNA is filed under the name Haemonchus contortus (barber pole worm). RNAcentral's name for it is "tRNA, Ser". It matches the Rfam family "tRNA". Rfam says of the family: Transfer RNA (tRNA) molecules are approximately 80 nucleotides in length. Their secondary structure includes four short double-helical elements and three loops (D, anti-codon, and T loops). Further hydrogen bonds mediate the characteristic L-shaped molecular structure. tRNAs have two regions of fundamental functional importance: the anti-codon, which is responsible for specific mRNA codon recognition, and the 3' end, to which the tRNAs corresponding amino acid is attached (by aminoacyl-tRNA synthetases). tRNAs cope with the degeneracy of the genetic code in two manners: having more than one tRNA (with a specific anti-codon) for a particular amino acid; and 'wobble' base-pairing, i.e. permitting non-standard base-pairing at the 3rd anti-codon position. The record is from RNAcentral. Lineage: Eukaryota; Metazoa; Nematoda; Chromadorea; Rhabditida; Trichostrongylidae.
GUGUCGGUAGUGUAAAGGAUAAGAGCACGUCCCCGGAAAGGACAAGUACGGGUUCGAGCCCCGUCCGAGACU